GACGAACGCUGGCGGCGUGCUUAACACAUGCAAGUCGAACGGAGAGGCCCUGCUUUUGUGGGGUGCUCGAGUGGCGAACGGGUGAGUAACACGUGAGUAACCUGCCCUUGACUUUGGGAUAACUUCAGGAAACUGGGGCUAAUACCGGAUAGGAGCUCCUGCUGCAUGGUGGGGGUUGGAAAGUUUCGGCGGUUGAGGAUGGACUCGCGGCUUAUCAGCUUGUUGGUGGGGUAGUGGCUUACCAAGGCUUUGACGGGUAGCCGGCCUGAGAGGGUGACCGGCCACAUUGGGACUGAGAUACGGCCCAGACUCCUACGGGAGGCAGCAGUGGGGAAUAUUGCACAAUGGGCGGAAGCCUGAUGCAGCAACGCCGCGUGCGGGAUGACGGCCUUCGGGUUGUAAACCGCUUUCGCCUGUGACGAAGCGUGAGUGACGGUAAUGGGUAAAGAAGCACCGGCUAACUACGUG
RNAcentral lists this ribosomal RNA (468 nucleotides) under uncultured bacterium. RNAcentral describes it as "partial 16S ribosomal RNA". It matches the Rfam family "Bacterial small subunit ribosomal RNA", at positions 28 to 507 of the family's 1533-position model. The record is from RNAcentral.